RNAcentral lists this ribosomal RNA (232 nucleotides) under uncultured bacterium. Its description in RNAcentral is "partial 16S ribosomal RNA". It matches the Rfam family "Bacterial small subunit ribosomal RNA", at positions 15 to 236 of the family's 1533-position model. The record is from RNAcentral.
GAUCAUGGCUCAGGAUGAACGCUGGCGGCGUGCUUAACACAUGCAAGUCGAACGAAGCACUUCAUAAAGCUUGCUUUAAGAAGUGACUUAGUGGCGGACGGGUGAGUAACGCGUGGGUAACCUGCCUUACACAGGGGGAUAACAGUUAGAAAUGACUGCUAAUACCGCAUAAAACAGCAGAGUCGCAUGACUCAACUGUCAAAGAUUUAUCGGUGUAAGAUGGACCCCGCGU